This 384-nucleotide ribosomal RNA is filed under the name uncultured bacterium. RNAcentral's name for it is "bacterial SSU rRNA". It matches the Rfam family "Bacterial small subunit ribosomal RNA", at positions 28 to 412 of the family's 1533-position model. The record is from RNAcentral.
GACGAACGCUGGCGGCGUGCUUAACACAUGCAAGUCGAGCGGUAAGGCCCUUUCGGGGGUACGACGAGCGGCGAACGGGUGAGUAACACGUGGGUGACCUGCCCUCAGCUCUGGGAGUAAGCCCGGGAAACUGGGUCUAAUACCGGAUAUGACUUCAUGACGCAUGUUGUGGAGUGGAAAGCCUUGUGCGGCUGAGGAUGGGCCCGCGGCCUAUCAGCUUGUUGGUGGGGUGANGGCCUACCAAGGCGACGACGGGUAGCCGGCCUGAGAGGGCGACCGGCACACUGGGACUGAGAUACGGCCCAGACUCCUACGGGAGGCAGCAGUGGGGAAUCUUGCGCAAUGGGCGAAAGCCUGACGCAGCGACGCCGCGUGAGGGAUGAC